This 764-nucleotide long non-coding RNA is filed under the name Salmo salar (Atlantic salmon). RNAcentral describes it as "lncRNA (ENSSSAG00000099099.1)". The record is from RNAcentral. Lineage: Eukaryota; Metazoa; Chordata; Actinopteri; Salmoniformes; Salmonidae.
GCUCUGGGAGAAGAGGUGGAUGAUGAAGAUGAGGAUAAAGGAUGCAGCCCGGGAGAAAGAAUGGAGGCACUUCAAACAAGGACCGCAAGGGGCGGACCGCAAGGGGCGGACCGCAAGGGGCUGACCGCAAGGGGCUAGUCACCUACAGCUGGCAGCUGUACACGUCUGUUUUUGUUCUGUUUGUGGAUUUGAGUGUUCCUUUGGUUUUGGGGUGGUUUUAUUUGUUUUGAGCGAUAAGUCAGUUCUCACAGCUUUAAGUCUUUUGUAAACUGUUGCAAUGCUAAUGCACACAUACACUACCUAUGUUUGUUGCUAGUGAGUAUGUGCGCAGUAGAAUGUUGCUUAGUUAGCAGCUUUGGUAUAGGACACUGCAUUACAACACCGGGGCAGUGUGUAUGUAUAGUCUAUGUAGCAGCAUGUACAGGCUUUGUUAAAUGUUUUCUUAACAUUGUAAUGAACACACUAGAAUGUUUACUUUCCAACCACUGAAACAAAUAUACCCAUUCCAUUUCCUAUCCUGAGCCCACGUGUUGUUCCCUGCACUGGCCACACAGUAGCUUUUUAUCUUGAUUCUGAUCUAGAUAUUCUAGCUCUGUGUUUUUGUUCUCAUACACUGUUAACUUCACAGACGGCGAUCUGUUUACAUUCCGUUAGGUCUUUGAAUGGACAGGGACAUUCCGUUAGGUCUUUCAAUGGACAGGGACAUUCCGUUAGGUCUUUCAAUGGACAGGGACAUUCCGUUAGGUCUUUCAAUGGACAGGGAC